Molecule: transfer RNA, 73 nt
Filed under: Planctomycetota bacterium
Lineage: Bacteria; Pseudomonadati; Planctomycetota
Description: Planctomycetes bacterium (hot springs metagenome) tRNA-Gly
Rfam family: tRNA
About the family: Transfer RNA (tRNA) molecules are approximately 80 nucleotides in length. Their secondary structure includes four short double-helical elements and three loops (D, anti-codon, and T loops). Further hydrogen bonds mediate the characteristic L-shaped molecular structure. tRNAs have two regions of fundamental functional importance: the anti-codon, which is responsible for specific mRNA codon recognition, and the 3' end, to which the tRNAs corresponding amino acid is attached (by aminoacyl-tRNA synthetases). tRNAs cope with the degeneracy of the genetic code in two manners: having more than one tRNA (with a specific anti-codon) for a particular amino acid; and 'wobble' base-pairing, i.e. permitting non-standard base-pairing at the 3rd anti-codon position.
Source: RNAcentral
GCGGCAGUAGCUCAGUUGGCAGAGCACCGGCUUCCCAAGCCGGUUGUCGCGGGUUCGACUCCCGUCUGCCGCU